This 2788-nucleotide ribosomal RNA is filed under the name human gut metagenome. Its description in RNAcentral is "bacterial LSU rRNA". It matches the Rfam family "Bacterial large subunit ribosomal RNA". The record is from RNAcentral.
AGCGUACACGGUGGAUGCCCUGGCAGUCAGAGGCGAUGAAGGACGUGCUAAUCUGCGAUAAGCGUCGGUAAGGUGAUAUGAACCGUUAUAACCGGCGAUUUCCGAAUGGGGAAACCCAGUGUGUUUCGACACACUAUCAUUAACUGAAUCCAUAGGUUAAUGAGGCGAACCGGGGGAACUGAAACAUCUAAGUACCCCGAGGAAAAGAAAUCAACCGAGAUUCCCCCAGUAGCGGCGAGCGAACGGGGAGCAGCCCAGAGCCUGAAUCAGUGUGUGUGUUAGUGGAAGCGUCUGGAAAGGCGCGCGAUACAGGGUGACAGCCCCGUACACAAAAAUGCACAUACUGUGAGCUCGAUGAGUAGGGCGGGACACGUGGUAUCCUGUCUGAAUAUGGGGGGACCAUCCUCCAAGGCUAAAUACUCCUGACUGACCGAUAGUGAACCAGUACCGUGAGGGAAAGGCGAAAAGAACCCCGGCGAGGGGAGUGAAAAAGAACCUGAAACCGUGUACGUACAAGCAGUGGGAGCACGCUUCGGCGUGUGACUGCGUACCUUUUGUAUAAUGGGUCAGCGACUUAUAUUCUGUAGCAAGGUUAACCGAAUAGGGGAGCCGAAGGGAAACCGAGUCUUAACUGGGCGUUAAGUUGCAGGGUAUAGACCCGAAACCCGGUGAUCUAGCCAUGGGCAGGUUGAAGGUUGGGUAACACUAACUGGAGGACCGAACCGACUAAUGUUGAAAAAUUAGCGGAUGACUUGUGGCUGGGGGUGAAAGGCCAAUCAAACCGGGAGAUAGCUGGUUCUCCCCGAAAGCUAUUUAGGUAGCGCCUCGUGAAUUCAUCUCCGGGGGUAGAGCACUGUUUCGGCAAGGGGGUCAUCCCGACUUACCAACCCGAUGCAAACUGCGAAUACCGGAGAAUGUUAUCACGGGAGACACACGGCGGGUGCUAACGUCCGUCGUGAAGAGGGAAACAACCCAGACCGCCAGCUAAGGUCCCAAAGUCAUGGUUAAGUGGGAAACGAUGUGGGAAGGCCCAGACAGCCAGGAUGUUGGCUUAGAAGCAGCCAUCAUUUAAAGAAAGCGUAAUAGCUCACUGGUCGAGUCGGCCUGCGCGGAAGAUGUAACGGGGCUAAACCAUGCACCGAAGCUGCGGCAGCGACACUGUGUGUUGUUGGGUAGGGGAGCGUUCUGUAAGCCUGUGAAGGUGGCCUGUGAGGGUUGCUGGAGGUAUCAGAAGUGCGAAUGCUGACAUAAGUAACGAUAAAGCGGGUGAAAAGCCCGCUCGCCGGAAGACCAAGGGUUCCUGUCCAACGUUAAUCGGGGCAGGGUGAGUCGACCCCUAAGGCGAGGCCGAAAGGCGUAGUCGAUGGGAAACAGGUUAAUAUUCCUGUACUUGGUGUUACUGCGAAGGGGGGACGGAGAAGGCUAUGUUGGCCGGGCGACGGUUGUCCCGGUUUAAGCGUGUAGGCUGGUUUUCCAGGCAAAUCCGGAAAAUCAAGGCUGAGGCGUGAUGACGAGGCACUACGGUGCUGAAGCAACAAAUGCCCUGCUUCCAGGAAAAGCCUCUAAGCAUCAGGUAACAUCAAAUCGUACCCCAAACCGACACAGGUGGUCAGGUAGAGAAUACCAAGGCGCUUGAGAGAACUCGGGUGAAGGAACUAGGCAAAAUGGUGCCGUAACUUCGGGAGAAGGCACGCUGAUACGUAGGUGAAGUCCCUUGCGGAUGGAGCUGAAAUCAGUCGAAGAUACCAGCUGGCUGCAACUGUUUAUUAAAAACACAGCACUGUGCAAACACGAAAGUGGACGUAUACGGUGUGACGCCUGCCCGGUGCCGGAAGGUUAAUUGAUGGGGUUAGCGGUAACGCGAAGCUCUUGAUCGAAGCCCCGGUAAACGGCGGCCGUAACUAUAACGGUCCUAAGGUAGCGAAAUUCCUUGUCGGGUAAGUUCCGACCUGCACGAAUGGCGUAAUGAUGGCCAGGCUGUCUCCACCCGAGACUCAGUGAAAUUGAACUCGCUGUGAAGAUGCAGUGUACCCGCGGCAAGACGGAAAGACCCCGUGAACCUUUACUAUAGCUUGACACUGAACAUUGAGCCUUGAUGUGUAGGAUAGGUGGGAGGCUUUGAAGUGUGGACGCCAGUCUGCAUGGAGCCGACCUUGAAAUACCACCCUUUAAUGUUUGAUGUUCUAACGUUGGCCCCUGAUCGGGGUUGCGGACAGUGUCUGGUGGGUAGUUUGACUGGGGCGGUCUCCUCCUAAAGAGUAACGGAGGAGCACGAAGGUUGGCUAAUCCUGGUCGGACAUCAGGAGGUUAGUGCAAUGGCAUAAGCCAGCUUGACUGCGAGCGUGACGGCGCGAGCAGGUGCGAAAGCAGGUCAUAGUGAUCCGGUGGUUCUGAAUGGAAGGGCCAUCGCUCAACGGAUAAAAGGUACUCCGGGGAUAACAGGCUGAUACCGCCCAAGAGUUCAUAUCGACGGCGGUGUUUGGCACCUCGAUGUCGGCUCAUCACAUCCUGGGGCUGAAGUAGGUCCCAAGGGUAUGGCUGUUCGCCAUUUAAAGUGGUACGCGAGCUGGGUUUAGAACGUCGUGAGACAGUUCGGUCCCUAUCUGCCGUGGGCGCUGGAGAACUGAGGGGGGCUGCUCCUAGUACGAGAGGACCGGAGUGGACGCAUCACUGGUGUUCGGGUUGUCAUGCCAAUGGCACUGCCCGGUAGCUAAAUGCGGAAGAGAUAAGUGCUGAAAGCAUCUAAGCACGAAACUUGCCCCGAGAUGAGUUCUCCCUGACUCCUUGA